This 503-nucleotide ribosomal RNA is filed under the name uncultured bacterium. RNAcentral describes it as "SSU rRNA". It matches the Rfam family "Bacterial small subunit ribosomal RNA", at positions 36 to 538 of the family's 1533-position model. The record is from RNAcentral.
AGGAUGAACGCUGGCGGCGUGCCUAAUACAUGCAAGUCGAGCGGUAAGGCCCCUUCGGGGGUACACGAGCGGCGGACGGCUGAGUAACACGUAGGAACGUACCCCAAACUGAGGGAUAAGCACCAGAAAUGGUGUCUAAUACCGCAUGUGGUCUUCGGAUUAAAGCUUCGGCGGUUUGGGAACGGCCUGCGCAUGAUUAGCUUGUUGGUGAGGUAAAAGCUUACCAAGGCGACGAUCAUUAGCUGGUCUGAGAGGAUGAUCAGCCAGACUGGGACUGAGAACGGCCCAGACUCCUACGGGAGGCAGCAGUAGGGAAUUUUCCACAAUGGGCGAAAGCCUGAUGGAGCAACGCCGCGUGCAGGACGAAGGCCUUCGGGUUGUAAACUGCUUUUAUAUGUGAAGAUUAUGACGGUAGCGAUAUGAAUAAGGAUCGGCUAACUCCGCGCCAGCGACGCCGGUACGUACUCGAGUAGUCGGCGGACGGGAGGGACGGACGACGUACG